This 254-nucleotide ribosomal RNA is filed under the name uncultured bacterium. RNAcentral's name for it is "partial 16S ribosomal RNA". It matches the Rfam family "Bacterial small subunit ribosomal RNA", at positions 524 to 776 of the family's 1533-position model. The record is from RNAcentral.
UACGUAGGGGGCGAGCGUUGUCCGGAUUCAUUGGGCGUAAAGAGCUCGUAGGCGGUUCGCUAAGUCAGGUGUGAAAUCUCCACGCUCAACGUGGAGGGGCCACCUGAUACUGGCGUGACUCGAGUCCGGUAGGGGAGUGUGGAAUUCCCGGUGUAGCGGUGAAAUGCGUAGAGAUCGGGAAGAACGCCGGCGGCGAAAGCGACUCUCUGGUCGGAAUCUGACGCUGAGGUGCGAAAGCUAGGGGAGCAAACGGG